RNAcentral lists this ribosomal RNA (253 nucleotides) under uncultured bacterium. Its description in RNAcentral is "partial 16S ribosomal RNA". It matches the Rfam family "Bacterial small subunit ribosomal RNA", at positions 524 to 776 of the family's 1533-position model. The record is from RNAcentral.
UACGGAGGGGGCUAGCGUUGUCCGGAAUCAUUGGGCGUAAAGCGCGCGUAGGCGGCUUUGUAAGUAAGAGGUGAAAGCCCGGAGCUCAACUCCGGAACUGCCUUUUAGACUGCAUCGCUUGAAUCCAGGAGAGGUGAGUGGAAUUCCGAGUGUAGAGGUGAAAUUCGUAGAUAUUCGGAAGAACACCAGUGGCGAAGGCGGCUCACUGGACUGGUAUUGACGCUGAGGUGCGAAAGCGUGGGGAGCAAACAGG